AGAGUUUGAUCCUGGCUCAGAUUGAACGCUGGCGGCAUGCCUAACACAUGCAAGUCGAACGGCAGCACAGCAGAGCUUGCUCUGUGGGUGGCGAGUGGCGGACGGGUGAGUAAUGCAUCGGGACCUACCCAGACGUGGGGGAUAACGUAGGGAAACUUACGCUAAUACCGCAUACGUCCUACGGGAGAAAGCGGGGGACCUUCGGGCCUCGCGCGGUUGGACGGACCGAUGUUCGAUUAGCUAGUUGGUAGGGUAAUGGCCUACCAAGGCGACGAUCGAUAGCUGGUCUGAGAGGAUGAUCAGCCACACUGGAACUGAGACACGGUCCAGACUCCUACGGGAGGCAGCAGUGGGGAAUAUUGGACAAUGGGCGCAAGCCUGAUCCAGCAAUGCCGCGUGUGUGAAGAAGGCCUUCGGGUUGUAAAGCACUUUUAUCGGGAACGAAAUACCACGGGUUAAUAACCUAUGGGGCUGACGGUACCCGAGGAAUAAGCACCGGCUAACUUCGUGCCAGCAGCCGCGGUAAUACGAAGGGUGCAAGCGUUAAUCGGAAUUACUGGGCGUAAAGGGUGCGUAGGCGGUUGUUUAAGUCUGUUGUGAAAUCCCCGGGCUCAACCUGGGAAUGGCAAUGGAUACUGGACGGCUAGAGUGUGUCAGAGGAUGGUGGAAUUUCCGGUGUAGCGGUGAAAUGCGUAGAGAUCGGAAGGAACAUCAGUGGCGAAGGCGGCCAUCUGGGACAACACUGACGCUGAAGCACGAAAGCGUGGGGAGCAAACAGGAUUAGAUACCCCGGUAGUCC
RNAcentral lists this ribosomal RNA (799 nucleotides) under uncultured bacterium. Its description in RNAcentral is "bacterial SSU rRNA". It matches the Rfam family "Bacterial small subunit ribosomal RNA", at positions 8 to 796 of the family's 1533-position model. The record is from RNAcentral.